Lachnospiraceae bacterium TWA4 is the source of this 195-nucleotide non-coding RNA. The record is from Rfam. NCBI's taxonomy places the organism in Bacteria, Bacillati, Bacillota, Clostridia, Lachnospirales, Lachnospiraceae.
CUUAACUGUUAAUUUGAUUAGGAUGGUGAAAUUCCAUCUACGAGGUAAAUGCUGAUACCUCACUCCCUGAGACUCCGAUAUGCCAAUCAGGCUUAUAACUGAAAGGUAUAAAGCUCGGUAAAGUCGGCCAAAAAGAAUCCUAAACAAAAGAAAUAUACUAGUACAGCUGGUUCAAAAGUGGCUAGAGCCCGCCCG